Bactrocera oleae (olive fruit fly) is the source of this 1503-nucleotide non-coding RNA. Lineage: Eukaryota; Metazoa; Arthropoda; Insecta; Diptera; Tephritidae. The record is from RefSeq and is a predicted model, not a curated record.
ACACGCAAGAUUUUUAUCUGGUUUACUUUACGACUUCGCUUGAAUGUUUAUACUUGUAUAUUCGAAGAAAAGCAAGCAUACGGAUGCAAAUGUAAUAAAAAACUUUGGUAUAGAAUCCCCGAAUUCGGGUAAAAAAUGGAUAUGAGCGGAUGGAGAUAUUCUCCAGAUAGAGAAUAUAUAAUAUAAACAUUUAGCUGCAGGAGACUUAUAGUUUUCGAGGUACUUGCAUUUGAAACCCAAAUUUCACAUAUUAAGGUUAGCAUCCCCCGAGUUCGGGGUUAAAAUCGGUAUGCACAGAUAGGGGAGACUUUCUUAAGGAUAUGUAUACAUUUAGUUGCCGCUGACUUACGAUGCUGCCCGGUUCUAAGUUACAAGGAUUGACCCAGAUUUUAUCCGGCCAAGGGCUGUUAUUUCGGCGAACUAACAUUGUUUGGAUUGGUAAGUUUUAGUUAAAGUUUGUCGUCAUUAGAGCAACGCCAAGUAGCAGAGUUGCUGCGCAUCCUCCUGACUCGUACUGGCAUCGAGUCUAGGCCCCGAGGAAUUCUUCAGCUGCAUUUGUCUUGUCUCGGAAGACAAGUACCAUCCUGCUAUCGACAUCUUGCUUAUUUUUCGGCCGGGGUUGACGCCAGAUAAUUCCUCAUCAUACGUAUUUAAAAAGGCUAACUACGCAGCCCUUAAUACUUCUCUCCUAAGAACGAAUUGGAUUGACCUCUACAAAUUCGAGACUAUUGACAGUAAGUUGGACUUUCUCUAUGCAAAAAUCUUUGAAGGUGUAAACCAGUUUGUUCCAAGCCGAGUAACUAUCCAUAUUGGUUCUCACAUGAUCUCAUUCACAAAGCUAAACAGAAGAAAUCUGCACACCUGAGAUAUAAAAAUCGGAAAACUAAGCCAAAUUAUUUACGAUUCAGCAGGUUAAGAUUGGAAUGCAAAAAGUUAAGUAUCGAAUGCUACAAAAGUUAGAGGACAAACUGCAAUCGGAGAGCAUUCUUUAAUUUUAUCAAGGACGAAAACCGUUGCACCGGUGACAUACCAUCUUCAGUCUGCACUUGCAAAACUAUUUGAGAGGUUAGUGCUUCCACAGAUACGUCAGGCAUUUGAAAACAUCAUAACAACCAAACAACAUGGCUUUACUGGUGGCAGAUUUACCACUACCAAUUUGUUCAUAUACGUCGACAAACUGCUGAACUCCAUGGAUUCCGGCAACUGCACACACAGCAUUUACACAGACUUCAGCAAGGCUUUCGACUGUGUUGACUACGAAAUACUUUUAGAUAAGCUAAGUAAAUAUGGUGUGGCUGGACGUGCAUUAGCUUGGAUACGUACAUACCUCACAGACAGACGCUUGCAAGUCAGAGUAGAUGGCCACUUAUCCAGUGAAUAUGAAGUAAUCUCUGGUGUGCCACAAGGAUCUCACCUUGGUCCUGUACUGUUUAACAUCUUCGUCAACGACAUUGGUAAUAACUUUGCUUCUGAUUUCCUUCUGUAUGCUGAUGACCUCAAAAU